Long non-coding RNA from Leopardus geoffroyi (Geoffroy's cat), 1149 nucleotides. RefSeq lists it as uncharacterized. Lineage: Eukaryota; Metazoa; Chordata; Mammalia; Carnivora; Felidae. The record is from RefSeq and is a predicted model, not a curated record. The transcript is spliced from 2 exons.
CUAAAAUGUAUUGAUUUUAGUAAAUUUUUAAAAAGAAGCAUUCAUUUAGCGACUAUAUUUCAGAAGUGCUCACAUGUAUUAAAUUAGCAACAUUAUUUGUGACAAUAUUUAUUCAAGUCUUUUUAAUGAUCUUAAAUAUUCUCAACAUAAUAAUUGGUCCAUAAUCUACCAUGAUUUGGGCAGGUCUUUGCAGAAGAAAUGAUUGUAGUGAGGCCUGCCUGAACAAAGGAGAAAGUAAACCAUUUUGUUUCUUACAUCUGGGCAAAACUCUCUAUCCUAGACCACAUCACAGUCUUUAACUUGUCUGUUACUUUCCUGCUAUCCUCUCACCCAACUAGUAAUAGCACUUUUUCAAAAACACACCUGACUACUUAGUACUUUCUGCUGUUUAGAACUUCAGUGGCUUCCCACCAUUCACGCAUUGGAGGUAGAAUUUUUAAGGCUAUUAAGUAACCCUAAACUUCAUGAACUGCCCCCUGCUGGUAUCUCCCAUCUGCCCUCACAUUCCACUCCUUUCCCCUCUCUGAGCUUCUCUCAGAUCUUUGAACAGAGUACACUUUCUCACCUCUGCAUCUUGGCACAUACAGUUCCCUCAUCCUUCUUUAUCCUUCCUCCAUCACCAUUACCCAAUGGCUAUUCAUCCUUCAGGUGUCAGCUCAACUGUGUCUUUCUCACAGAGGUUCCCCCCGCCCAACCCCAAUCCAGGUAGAAACCUCCCCUCCCUUGCCCCCAACAUAUAGUCUAAGAGCCACUUGUUCUCUUAUUCUUAUUGUCAUCACAUUUGACAACAAUUGCAUGCUCAAUGUCUAUCUUCCUGCAGGUUUGUAAGUACUGGAAGACUGGGAAUCAAUUCUGUAUUGUUAAACUCUAUCUCCUUCAUUUCCCCGUGCCUGACAUCUAAUAAACACUUGAUGAAUCUUUAUGAAUAAUAAAUGAAGAGCAAUGAUAAAUGGAUAAAUGAAUAAAAGCAAUGAAUGUCAAGGGCAAUAUGAACAAGGAGAAAGUGUUAUUUUGAAGUCUGAGAAUUAACAUCCAAUAAUUUAACUGUGACUCUCUCACUUGUUAUAUUUUACCCAUAUUCAUUGUUCAUUGGCAAAAUUCUGGCAGAGAGGGAUUUUUUCCCUCUAAAAAAUCUUUUGUUUUCUUGGA